GGGUUUGAUUAGAGUAAAAGCGAUUUGAAAGUCGAUGGGGGCAAAGGCGAGGAAAGUGUCGAAGAAAAUAAUAAAGAAGGCGUCUUCUCAAUUUUCACAUUCUGAUUCUAAAACAGCCUCUAUUGAUUUCCUGCCAUUGGAAGGCGGUUAAACUCCCUUCAUUUAUAUGCAAGAUCCAUUUAUAUGCAAGAUCGUUACUCCGUGGGUGGAACCGCCGGAGCCGUCGUAAUUGCCUAGGUGGAGCUUUUAGUCUAUGUGGGAGUUAGCUUCAGUACUUAAUUUCUUGCAUGCCACUUUUAAAUAAAACAUGGUCCUGUGGGAGUUCUCGGCGGAGUUUGCGAAAGCGUUGAUUACGCCUAAUGAUACUUUGGGAGAUAUUCUUGUUCCUUUGUUAAAGAAUGAAACCAGGAGUUAAUACCUCACGGUGGAUGGAGUGUCCAUGAGUUUUAUAUUCUAAUCCAAAGUUUAGCAUACGCGUGAUGGAACACUGAUUCGCUGAAGAGUUGUGCUCAAAAGGUUUGAAGAUGGCUUCAUGUAUGAAAAGCAAAACCCUUAAGUGACCCUAAGGUUGGUACAGUUGUUUAUAUUUGUUUGUGUUUGGAGAAAGGAAUUUUAGGUUGGUACUUUUAAUGUUGAUUGUCCACAUACUUUUUGGCCAAGAAGUAUUUAUCAUUAUAAAAUAUAAUAUACUUAGUAAAAAGAUGGGUGAGAUUGAUUUCUGUAGAAUUUGUUAAUUUCAAUGGCUUGCUGGAAGUUUUUUGUACCAAUUUAGGGCCAACAAAGAAUGAUAUCAAGCCAAAUAUAUUCUGUUUACUCACAUUCUUUUCCAUUAUUGUAUGGAUCCUCUUUAUCAUAUUCAAUUAUGACAUUUGUAAUGAUUAUCUAGAGAUUAAUUUUAAUGGACAGUUUAAAUGAAUUACAUAGGAAGAAAACUACUUCACUAUUUGCUUUAGUGUUUUCAAUAAAUACUAAUUUUCUAGGGUGGAGGUUGAAGUAUACAAUAUAAGUCACUUGAUCUUGGAAUUCAUGCUGUAAUCUUGAAAACACUAAGUGACACUCGCGUUGAGCUAUGAUAAUCAUCAAUAAAUUGUCUUUUAACUCUCCAUUGUAAAUGCUUGAUGUUUCUUUUAUUGAUCUUGACUUUGAUUUCCCAUAUAUAUUAUAUUGUAAUUUUGAGGGCAGCAUCAACUCUAUUCAUGUAAUAUUGGUGGAACUAAAAUUUAUGAUUGCGAAUAUUUCAAAUAAGUCCUGAAUGGCAGAAUUCUUGUAGCUUAGUGUUGGACACUUAGAUGGUUGGACACCUGUUUACUUUACCUGGGACCUGCAUUACAGUUGCAUUUUAUUAACUAAUGAUGCACUAACAUAUUGGUCUAUACAGUUUUUGUUGUACAUUGUCGCUGUCAUUGUCAUGUAUAUGAAGGCUUACUUCUCUUUUAAUUAUCUUUACAUUGAAACAAUUUUUCUAUCAACAUAAGUGAGUAAAUAGCUCUUCUUGACAAUGAUUUUUAGAUCUAAAUGUGCUUUAAUCUUUAUGUUAUGGUAAUAUGCUCAUUAUAAAUAAGUUAAACAGUUUUAAUUAACUUGGAAGAAUUUCAAGAUGAAUCAUACCUUUUGUGCCACUUCCAAUUCUUAUUUUAAUAGGAAUGGGACUCUUACCUUUUUUGAUGGCAACAAAAAAUUUUCGUUGUAUGUUGGCUUUUGCAUGCAUUCAUUUCCUUUGUUUGUACUUAUUUGCAUAAGAAUGUGAUGAGAUUCUAUGGCCCUUAAUGUUGUUCCCAAUGAUGAAGAAAUUAUGGAUGUUAAGGCUACAACAAUUUCCAGCACUACAGUGUAGAUUCCAACUUCUACAAAGAGAUCCAUUGUCAGGUUAGAUAACCUCAUUAUGGAAGCGAUUACAAGCUUGAAGGAGCAUGGUGAUUCAAAUAAGACAACUAUUGCGGCAUGUAUAGAGGUGUGGUGUCUGUGGGAAGUGGACCAUUGGAUCAACUAUUUGGUGGUGGAAACUCUCAUCAGUUUUUGCUAGGGCAGGUGUUGCAGCCCUCACCAGUGGACUGAUAGCAAUUUUGUUUAUCCCUCAACUUAGUUCACAGAAGAAUAGGUCCUUCCCAUGAGGUAUUUUGUUGUACCUUAUUUUUUGUUUGCCAUGAACAUGAAUAUUAAAUUGUUCAGAUAGCAAGAAUUUGUAUAUAGCUAUUGUUAUUUUAUUGAUCAAUAAAAUCAUUAUGAUCUGAGGUUUUGUUUGCCAAUAUGUUAUUUUAUUUGACAUUUGAAACACUAAAAAGCUAGCUGCAGCUUCAUUUUCAUUGGUUUUCCAACACGUGAUCAUCUAUUCUGUUUUCUGAAUAUAGAUAAAGUUGUUUCUGCUGAUUGAUGCUUUGACUCACGGAUGCCUUGCCUCAUGUUUUCUCUUUUAUCUUUUCUGUGAAAGUGCAAUCAAGACAAUUUAUGUAAUAGCUUAUUGGGGUUCAAUAUUUUUGUUAGCACUAUAAUGCCUCUGAUGCUUCAAAUAAAUGAUGAUAAUGCUCUUUGAUCAAAAUUAUAAAUUUUGCUAGGAUUCACUUAGUUUGUUUCUAAAAAGAAGUUGCAAUUCUCCAAUCUUGAUCACCAUCCCGAUCAAUGUGUCAUGCACCACUUUCAUAUUUGCACAUGCUACUAAUAUGCUUAAAAGGUCAUUGAAUUGUUAUGUCUAUUUUAAAUGAAUUCAAAUGUCAUAUGUCCAAUUGUAAUACUUUGAAAUAUGUAUAUGCGUGUAUGUAUAUUAAUUUUCCAUUACAUUCAUGUACUUAAAUAAAAUUUCAUUUCAUAAUGA
This is a non-coding RNA of Durio zibethinus, 2809 nucleotides long. Lineage: Eukaryota; Viridiplantae; Streptophyta; Magnoliopsida; Malvales; Malvaceae. The record is from RefSeq and is a predicted model, not a curated record.